CUACGGGAGCCAGACUCCGCCAACAACUUCAACCGCAAGUAGACUCCGCCCGGACUCCUACGGGAGCCGGGCUCCAUCCUCAACAUCAGCUGCCGGUAAGCCUUGUCCAGACUCCUACGAGAGCCGGACUUCGCCUUUAACUUUAAUUGCAGGAAGACUCCGCCCGGACUCCUACGAGAGCCGGGUUCCGUCCAUGACUCCAACGGCUACAGAUAGACUUCGUCCGGUCUCCUACGGGAGCCGGACUCCGCCAACAACUUCAACCGCAAGUAGACUCCGUCCGGACUCCUACGGGAGCCGGGCUCCGUCCUCAACAUCAGCUGCCGGUAAGCCUUGUCCGGACUCCUACGGGAGUCGGACUUCGCCUUUAACUUUAAUUGCAGGAAGACUCCGCCCGGACUCCUAC
This 406-nucleotide long non-coding RNA is filed under the name Elaeis guineensis (African oil palm). RNAcentral describes it as "long non-coding RNA (EGUI_LNC053252)". The record is from RNAcentral. Lineage: Eukaryota; Viridiplantae; Streptophyta; Magnoliopsida; Arecales; Arecaceae.